ACCGAGUUCAUGCCCUCACGGGUAGAUCUCCCACCCUAUGUUAUCAUUACCUUUGUUGCUUUGGCGGGCCGCCAGGCUUCGGCUAGGCUACCGGCUCCGGCUGGUAAGCGCCCGCCAGAGGACCCCAAACUCUGAAUGUUAGUGUCGUCUGAGUACUAUCUAAUAGUUAAAACUUUCAACAACGGAUCUCUUGGUUCUGGCAUCGAUGAAGAACGCAGCGAAAUGCGAUAAGUAAUGUGAAUUGCAGAAUUCAGUGAAUCAUCGAAUCUUUGAACGCACAUUGCGCCCCUUGGUAUUCCGAGGGGCAUGCCUGUUCGAGCGUCAUUACAACCCUCAAGCACUGCUUGGUAUUGGGCUCCGCUGCUAACCCAGCGGGCCUUAAAACGAGUGGCGGCGCCCUCAGGCUCUGAGCGUAGUAAAUCUCCUCGCUAUAGAGUCCUGGUGGUGGUAGUCAUCAACCCCCAACUUUCUAAGUUUGACCUCGGAUCAGGUAGGGAUACCCGC
Molecule: ribosomal RNA, 504 nt
Filed under: root-associated fungal sp. SRE-2008-3
Lineage: Eukaryota; Fungi
Also listed under: 2 other names
Description: eukaryotic LSU rRNA
Rfam family: 5.8S ribosomal RNA (bases 171-324)
Source: RNAcentral